Felis catus (domestic cat) is the source of this 83-nucleotide transfer RNA. It matches the Rfam family "tRNA". Rfam says of the family: Transfer RNA (tRNA) molecules are approximately 80 nucleotides in length. NCBI's taxonomy places the organism in Eukaryota, Metazoa, Chordata, Mammalia, Carnivora, Felidae. The record is from Rfam.
GCCUGGGUGGCUCAGUCCGUUGAGCGGCUGACUGCAGCUCAGAUCAUGAUCUCGGUUUGUGAGUUCGAGCCCCGCAUCAGGCU